CCUUUUCAGAGUUUCAGAUGGCGACCUCACAGAAGCUCUCCAGUGUCAUAUGCACCGAGGUGUUUGACAAUCCUUGUACACUUGACUGCAAUCACACUUUCUGUCGGAAAUGAGUCACCAACUACAUCAAAACCAGACCGGAAGCCUCCAGUGCCAAGUCUCUCUGCAGCAAGAUGACGAGAGUGUCUGACCCUUAGAGACCAGUGGAGGGGUGGGUGGAUGACGUCAAGCCAAGCUUUGUCAUCCAUAGACUCUUCGACUCGCUUGGUCCGGGAUCUAAAGGAGCAAGGAUGCUGGGGUUGAUCCGCUGGAUCUGGUGACUGUGGUUUUGCUAAAUGUGAUCAGAAUUUUGCGGAUUUUGGAGUCUUUUUUUGUGGCUGAUCUGUGGUGUUCUGUGAUGCGGACGUCGACGGGUCUAAAUCUUUCUGAUUUCAGAAUUUACAUCAGUGCCAUUUACUUUAUCUUCAUGUUCACUGGUAGAAGACCUUUGUGUCAUCACGCCUUGUUGGUGUUUAUUACACAGUGAAAACGUGGGUAGUCUCGUGAAGAAAUGAGUAGGCUUCAGAUAUAUAGCCUCGAUCUUUAAUGGCUUAAAUCACUUCACAAGUUCUAGUUGACAAACCCUAUAGUGCAGAUAGUACCUAUAUACUAUGCACAAUUACCUAAAUAAGAAAGGGUUACACCUAAACUGUUUAUAAAGACACUUUGUCGCGACCCUAGAUGACUGAACUGACAAUCGUAGGUGGUGUACCGUUGACAUUCACACAACACUGAUCUUACCCUGGAUCUCAGUAUAAAAGAGAAAUGGACUAUUCGAGACGUUUAUUGCAUUAGUUUUUACAUAAGUUCUUCAUAAGGUUCUUCAAUAGAUACAGUCGUAAUAGCACAUGAUAAAGUGGACAUAUUGGAAUCACAAUACCAUCCCAAGGAACAACCUUCAAUGAAGUGAUUCAAAGACACACACAUAUUUGUAUAUACAACAAAGAAUGAAAAAAAUAAUGUUUGAAUUAAAAUAUUAAAAACAAUUUUUAUUACAGACACCACCUAUUUUAUUAAUACUUUACUGCACAAAACAUACCAUUCCUCAUAAAACACAAGGUUGACUAAACAUAAACACUGACACAAUCGCAUGUUAUGUGUAAGUAAUUGAAAGAAAAUAAAUCAUAGUUAAUAUGAAAAACUUCAAACACAUGAAGAAAAAACAUAGAACACACAAGCUUUCCAUUGGUAGACACAUAGUACAUGAGUGUAUGAACUUAGAUCAGAAUAUUAAACGAACUAUGUAACCAGAAAAAUAAUGCAAAUGUGUGACUACAUGUGUCUUUUUAAUAUUUUAUUUUACAAUACUGGAUAGGUUGAUGUAAAAUAAGUAUUCUCGUUGUGAGUGUAGUAUGAAUUGAAUGCCA
This is a long non-coding RNA of Haliotis rufescens (red abalone), 1406 nucleotides long. RefSeq lists it as uncharacterized. The transcript is spliced from 2 exons. Lineage: Eukaryota; Metazoa; Mollusca; Gastropoda; Lepetellida; Haliotidae. The record is from RefSeq and is a predicted model, not a curated record.